GACGAACGCUGGCGGCGUGCCUAAUACAUGCAAGUAGAACGCACAGUUUAUACCGUAGCUUGCUACACCAUAAACUGUGAGUUGCGAACGGGUGAGUAACGCGUAGGUAACCUGCCUGGUAGCGGGGAAUAACUAUUGGAAACGAUAGCUAAUACCGCAUAAUAUUAAUUAUUGCAUGAUAAUUGAUUGAAAGAUGCAAUUGCAUCACUACCAGAUUGACCUGCGUUGUAUUAGCUAGUAGGUGAGGUAACGGCUCACCUAGGCGACGAUACAUAGCCGACCUGAGAGGGUGAUCGGCCACACUGGGACUGAGACACGGCCCAGACUCCUACGGGAGGCAGCAGUAGGGAAUCUUCGGCAAUGGACGAAAGUCUGACCGAGCAACGCCGCGUGAGUGAAGAAGGUUUUCGGAUCGUAAAGCUCUGUUGUAAGAGAAGAACGGGUGUGAGAGUGGAAAGUUCACACUGUGACGGUAUCUUACCAGAAAGAGACGGCUAACUACGUG
Molecule: ribosomal RNA, 505 nt
Filed under: uncultured bacterium
Lineage: Bacteria
Description: partial 16S ribosomal RNA
Rfam family: Bacterial small subunit ribosomal RNA
Source: RNAcentral